UGCGCAGGCGGAAGAUUAAGUCAGUGGUGAAAUCCUACAGCUCAACUGUAGAACUGUCAUUGAUACUGAUUUUCUUGAAUAUAGUUGAGGUAGGCGGAAUGUGUAAUGUAGCGGUGAAAUGCUUAGAUAUUACACAGAACACCGAUUGCGAAGGCAGCUUACUAAGCUAUUAUUGACGCUGAGGCACGAAAGCGUGGGGAGCGAACAGGAUUAGAUACCCUGGUAGUC
Molecule: ribosomal RNA, 228 nt
Filed under: uncultured bacterium
Lineage: Bacteria
Description: partial 16S ribosomal RNA
Rfam family: Bacterial small subunit ribosomal RNA
Source: RNAcentral